UUUCUAUCCUAACAGUAGUUAUAUGCUUGUCUCAAAGAUUGAGCCAUGCAUUUCUAAGUACACACGAAUUAAAAGUGAAACCCUUAAAGGCUCAUUAUAUCAGUUAUGGUUCCUUAGAUCGUUAAUAGUUACUUGGAUAACUGUGGUAAUUCUAGAGCUAAUACAUGCAAUUAAAACAUGAACCUUAUGGGACAUGUGCUUUUAUUAGGCUAAAACCAAGCGAUCGCAAGAUCGUUAUAUUGGUUGAACUCUAGGUAACAUGCAGAUCGUAUGGUCUUGUACCGACGACAGAUCUUUUAAAUGUCUGCCCUAUCAACUUUUGAUGGUAGUAUCUAGGACUACCAUGGUUGCAACGGGAACCGGGGAAUCAGGGUUCGAUUCCGGAGAGGGAGCCUGAGAAACGGCUACCACAUCUAAGGAAGGCAGCAGGCGCGUAAAUUACCCACUCCCAGCUCGGGGAGGUAGUGACGAGA
Molecule: non-coding RNA, 473 nt
Filed under: Drosophila sechellia
Lineage: Eukaryota; Metazoa; Arthropoda; Insecta; Diptera; Drosophilidae
Description: Eukaryotic small subunit ribosomal RNA
Rfam family: Eukaryotic small subunit ribosomal RNA
Source: Rfam by way of RNAcentral